This 1339-nucleotide long non-coding RNA is filed under the name Piliocolobus tephrosceles (Ugandan red Colobus). Its description in RNAcentral is "lncRNA (ENSPTEG00000007277.1)". Lineage: Eukaryota; Metazoa; Chordata; Mammalia; Primates; Cercopithecidae. The record is from RNAcentral.
AACAAGUUUAUUCUACAAACCAGGAUCCACAUUCAGUUUUAUUUGAACAAAAUGUUCUAUCAGCCUGAAAACUGCUGGGAAGGUCUCUAAGGCCAUCUGGCUCUGAGCCUGCGAUUCCAAGGCUUGUUAGCGGAUUUGUUUGUCUGGCUGUUGGUGUCUCUUCUUCCUGGCUUUGCCGCUCAGCCCUGGGCUUUCCAGAGCUUUCUAGGGGUCUCCUAAGAGGGCAAGCGGGUGGUACUUUCUGUAUUUCAAUAUUGUGUUAGAAUCUGGGACAUCCGAUUGCUGAAAUCAGAUGUUAGAUGGCACAGGUGGGGGUUUCCGGGACCCACACACCCUUGCCAAGUGCCUGCUGGAGGGAGCCGGUGUGUCCAGGACGCCCUUGCAGAGUGCCUGCUGGAGGGAGCCGGUGUGUCCAGGACGCCCUUGCCGAGUGCCUGCUGGAGGGAGCCGGUGUGUCCAGGAUGCCCUUGCAGAGUGCCUGCUGGAGGGAGCCGGUGGGUUCAGGACGCCCUUUGCCCUUGCCGAGUGCCUGCUGGAGGGAGCCGGGGAUGGACUCUUGCUUCUUUUCCCAACUCUACCAAGAGGGACCAUCCCAGGACGUCCUUCCCCAAGCACCCGGCCCUACGGCUGCCCGAGGUCUCCAUCACCGUCAGUGCCGCCAGUCUGCUGUGCAACCAGCUCUUGGUUUCGAGAGCCUGAAGGACUGCAGCUCAUGUCUCAUCUAAAGGAGCUGAAAUACUGCAGCUUUUUCUUUUGGUUGUGUGCAGUGAGAAUCUGGGAGCUGAACCUGUUAUCUGCGUGGUCUUCAGAUAUCAGGCAAACUCGGAAAAUGCCAACCCCAUAAAUGCUGGUGGGUGACAAAGUGUCUCAGGUGUGAUGCAUUAAAAAUCUCAGGACUUUUGCUCAUUGGAUUUGAAAGGUCAGCCUUCACAGGAAAAUGAUGAAGUCCCAAAAGACCAGAAAUAUAUUUCAGAAGACGCCAGUUACUGCUUUAAAAUGUCAAACCAACAUUUCAGAAAUAACUUUUGAUGGCGGCAGGAAUGAUUAUUUCCUGCCAAGAAGGUGAACGCUGGAGACCGUUGUGGUGAACGACGGCAUCUUUUCUUCCAUUAAGCUGACAACUUGGCUUCUGUCUUGUGAGGCCCUCAUCCUACCUGGUGGCAGAGGAUGUCUGAUGCCCUCAGUCACUGCAAUUACACUUCCCAGCCUGGCGGUCAGUCUCCUGGGGUCUGUGUGUUAACAACCAUCCACUGGGCAAUCCCAGUUUUCCUUAUACAGGCUUCCUUUAAAAAGCCUCUGGAUUUUCAGAAGAGAAGUUGCUUUCCUCCUUGAUUUAGAC